UAAUGAAAAAAACUUUGUAUAAUAGCUUCGAUAUGGGAAGCAAGUUUCUACCUCAAAACCAUAAAUUUUGAGACUACAAAGCCUAC
RNAcentral lists this non-coding RNA (86 nucleotides) under pig gut metagenome. RNAcentral's name for it is "Purine riboswitch". The stretch from base 13 to 81 matches the Rfam family "Purine riboswitch aptamer", at positions 19 to 87 of the family's 102-position model. Rfam says of the family: Riboswitches are metabolite binding domains within certain messenger RNAs that serve as precision sensors for their corresponding targets. Allosteric rearrangement of mRNA structure is mediated by ligand binding, and this results in modulation of gene expression. A class of riboswitches that selectively recognises guanine and becomes saturated at concentrations as low as 5 nM. The record is from RNAcentral.